UGGGGAAUAUUGCACAAUGGGCGCAAGCCUGAUGCAGCCAUGCCGCGUGCGUGAAGAAGGCCUUCGGGUUGUAAAAGCACUUUCAGCGAGGAGGAAGGUGGUGAGCUUAAUACGCUCAUCAAUUGACGUUACUCGCAGAAGAAGCACCGGCUAACUCCGUGCCAGCAGCCGCGGUAAUACGGAGGGUGCAAGCGUUAAUCGGAAUUACUGGGCGUAAAGCGCACGCAGGCGGUUUGUUAAGUCAGAUGUGAAAUCCCCGGGCUCAACCUGGGAACUGCAUUUGAAACUGGCAAGCUAGAGUCUCGUAGAGGGGGGUAGAAUUCCAGGUGUAGCGGUGAAAUGCGUAGAGAUCUGGAGGAAUACCGGUGGCGAAGGCGGCCCCCCUGGACGAAGACUGACGCUCAGGUGCGAAAGCGUGGGGCAGCAAACAGGAUUAGAUACCCUGGUAGUCCACGCUGUAAACGAUGUCGAUUUGGGGGCUUGUGCCCU
Molecule: ribosomal RNA, 489 nt
Filed under: uncultured bacterium
Lineage: Bacteria
Description: partial 16S ribosomal RNA
Rfam family: Bacterial small subunit ribosomal RNA
Source: RNAcentral